This 301-nucleotide ribosomal RNA is filed under the name Chaetoceros curvisetus. Its description in RNAcentral is "partial Bacterial small subunit ribosomal RNA". It matches the Rfam family "Bacterial small subunit ribosomal RNA", at positions 498 to 798 of the family's 1533-position model. Lineage: Eukaryota; Bacillariophyta; Thalassiosirophyceae; Chaetocerotales; Chaetocerotaceae. The record is from RNAcentral.
UAACUUCGUGCCAGCAGCCGCGGUAAUACGAAGGGUGCAAGCGUUACUCGGAAUUACUGGGCGUAAAGCGUGCGUAGGUGGUCGUUUAAGUCCGUUGUGAAAGCCCUGGGCUCAACCUGGGAACUGCAGUGGAUACUGGGCGACUAGAGUGUGGUAGAGGGUAGCGGAAUUCCUGGUGUAGCAGUGAAAUGCGUAGAGAUCAGGAGGAACAUCCAUGGCGAAGGCAGCUACCUGGACCAACACUGACACUGAGGCACGAAAGCGUGGGGAGCAAACAGGAUUAGAUACCCUGGUAGUCCAC